UGGGCGUAAAGCGUGCGUAGGCGGUUCGUUAAGUCAGAUGUGAAAGCCCUGGGCUCAACCUGGGAACUGCAUUUGAAACUGGCGGACUAGAGUUUAGUAGAGGGGAGUGGAAUUUCAGGUGUAGCGGUGAAAUGCGUAGAUAUCUGAAGGAACACCAGUGGCGAAGGCGACUCCCUGGACUAGAACUGACGCUGAGGUACGAAAGCGUGGGUAGCAAACAGGAUUAGAUACCCUGGUAGUCCACGCCGUAAACGAUGUCGACUAGCCGUUGGUCCUAUUUACAGGAUUAGUGGCGCAGCUAACGCAUUAAGUCGACCGCCUGGGGAGUACGGCCGCAAGGUUAAAACUCAAAUGAAUUGACGGGGGCCCGCACAAGCGGUGGAGCAUGUGGUUUAAUUCGAUGCAACGCGAAGAACCUUACGUACCCUUGACAUCCAGAGAAUCUGUUAGAGAUAGUAGAGUGCCUUCGGGAGCUCUGAGACAGGUGCUGCAUGGCUGUCGUCAGCUCGUGUCGUGAGAUGUUGGGUUAAGUCCCGCAACGAGCGCAACCCACGUCCUUAGUUGCCAUCAUUCAGUUGGGCACUCUAGGGAGACUGCCGGUGAUAAGCCGCGAGGAAGGUGUGGAUGACGUCAAGUCCUCAUGGCCCUUACGGGAUGGGCUACACACGUGCUACAAUGGCGGUGACAGUGGGACGCGAAGGAGCGAUCUGGAGCAAAUCCCCAAAAGCCGUCUCAGUUCGGAUUGCACUCUGCAACUCGAGUGGAUGAAGGCGGAAUCGCUAGUAAUCGUGGAUCAGC
This 798-nucleotide ribosomal RNA is filed under the name uncultured Methylobacter sp. RNAcentral's name for it is "bacterial SSU rRNA". It matches the Rfam family "Bacterial small subunit ribosomal RNA", at positions 555 to 1353 of the family's 1533-position model. The record is from RNAcentral. Lineage: Bacteria; Pseudomonadati; Pseudomonadota; Gammaproteobacteria; Methylococcales; Methylococcaceae.